Molecule: ribosomal RNA, 467 nt
Filed under: uncultured bacterium
Lineage: Bacteria
Description: partial 16S ribosomal RNA
Rfam family: Bacterial small subunit ribosomal RNA
Source: RNAcentral
GACGAACGCUGGCGGCGUGCUUAACACAUGCAAGUCGAACGGAAAGGCCCUGCUUUUGUGGGGUGCUCGAGUGGCGAACGGGUGAGUAACACGUGAGUAACCUGCCCUUGACUUUGGGAUAACUUCAGGAAACUGGGGCUAAUACCGGAUAGGAGCUCCUGCUGCAUGGUGGGGGUUGGAAAGUUUCGGCGGUUGGGGAUGGACUCGCGGCUUAUCAGCUUGUUGGUGGGGUAGUGGCUUACCAAGGCUUUGACGGGUAGCCGGCCUGAGAGGGUGACCGGCCACAUUGGGACUGAGAGACGGCCCAGACGCCUACGGGAGGCAGCAGUGGGGAAUAUUGCACAAUGGGCGGAAGCCGGAUGCAGCAACGCCGCGUGCGGGAUGACGGCCUUCGGGUUGUAAACCGCUUUCGCCUGUGACGAAGCGUGAGUGACGGUAAUGGGUAAAGAAGCACCGGCUAACUACGU